GAUUUGACUCAGCUGAUGAAGGUUGGGCCCUGGCGGGCGGGGCCGGAGGGGCGGGCCUGGAGCCAGGGGGCGGGACAGACGCCACGGAAACGCGCUCGCGCCUGCGCCGAACCACAACUUCUGGCGUCCCCCGCGCUCCCGGACGGUAGGAUAGUGGCGCGCAGGAAGAAGCGGCCGGCGGGGGAACGGGACGACCGUAUUCCGAGCCCACCGGGCUACGCAGCUAUUCCAAUCAAGUUCUCCGAAAAGCAGCAGGCUUCUCACUACCUCUAUGUGAGAGCACACGGCGUUCGACAAGGCACCAAGUCCAUCUGGCCUCAGAAGAGGACUCUUUUUGUCCUCAAUGUGCCCCCAUACUGCACAGAGGAGAGCCUGUCCCGCCUCCUGUCCUCCUGUGGCCUCGUCCAGUCUGUAGAGUUGCAGGAGAAGCCGGACCUGGCCGAGAGCCCAAAGGAGUCAAGGUCGAAGUUUUUUCAUCCCAAGCCGGUUCCGGGGUUCCAGGUAGCCUACGUGGUGUUCCAGAAGCCAAGUGGGGUGUCAGCGGCCUUGGCCCUGAAGGGCCCCCUGCUGGUGUCCACAGAGAGCCACCCUGUGAAGACUGGCAUUCAGAAGUGGAUCAGUGACUACGCAGACUCCAUGCCCGACCCUGAGGCCCUGAGGGUGGAAGUGGACACGUUCAUGGAGGCGUAUGACCAGAAGAUCGCUGAGGAAGAAGCUAAGGCCAAGGAGGAGGAGGGAGUCUGUGAUGAGGAGGGCUGGGUGAAGGUGACCCGCCGGGGCUGGCGGCCUGUUCUCCCCCGGACUGAAGCAGCCAGCCUGCGGGUGCUAGAGAGGGAGAGACGGAAGCGCGCCCGAAAGGAGCUGCUCAACUUCUACCCCUGGCAGCACCGAGAGAGCAAGAUGGAGCAUCUAGCGCAGCUGCGCAAGAAGUUCGAGGAGGACAAGCAGAGGAUCGAGCUGCUGCGGGCCCAGCGCAAAUUCCGACCCUACUGAGCCGCGAGAGCCGCAGUGGAUGGCUGGAGGUGCAGGGCCAGGUGGAACAUGAGGCCUGGCCUUGUUGCGGGGCUCGGGAACUCAGAUUUCCAGUAUUGAGUCUGGGAGCACGAGGUCGUCAUAGUUCCAGGCCCAGAGCUACAGCUAGGCUGUGAGCGUGUGUUUGCGCUGUAAGAGGGAGCUGAUGAUACUGGCCACGUGCUGGGGUUCCCUCAUGUGGACACAGUGAUUGCCUGGGACUUCCACAAACUGGAACCGCUGGAGAAGGGAGAGGGUGUGUGGUGAGGUGUGGCCAGAGGAGCCUAGGGAGCUCCUUAGGCCCUUGGGGUCAGGGCCCUCCCACAGCCUUCAGGCUCCCUGCAGGGCAGGAGCGGCUCCCAUGGUGAGUUUCCCACACACGCAAUGCCUUGGAGCCGGGUCAGUGCAUAGCACCCCAGGAGGUGUGUAAGCCCUGGGGACUUGGAGGCCUCCCAGCUGAGUUGUGAAGUUGCAUGGUGGGGGGAGGGCAGGGUCGAGGCCGGGGUGGCUGUGAUUGUAUUAGAGGAGGUCCCCGUGAGAAAAAAUAAUCAGAUGGGGGCGUGAGCAGCCUGCAGACUUGUGCCUGCCUUCAAGAAGCCAGAUGGAAGGGCCCUGCCUGCCUUGGCUCUGACCAGGCGACCGGCCAGCCACAGGUGCGCUUCCUCCCUUUGUGACAACACCAGGAAACCUGCAGAGGCCCCAGGGUCAGGUGUUUGUGGGUAGGUGACCGUGAAUCACCAGGUGCUCCCAGGAACCCGGGCACAGCCACCCCCACCUACAGCCAGCACACCCACUGGCGCGAUGGGUGCAGAGGGGUGAGGCAGUCAGGUGUUCUGCUGUGGUUUGGGAGCCUAUAAAAUGUGAGACUAGGUUGGGUGCGGUGGCUCCUGUCUGCAAAAGCAGCACUUCAGGAGGCCAAGUCGGGCAGAUCGCCUGAGGUCAGGAGUUUGAGACCAGCCUGGCCAACAUGGUGAAAUCCCGUCUCUUAAAAAUAUAAAAAUUAGCUGGGCAUGGUGGCAGAUGCCUGUAAUCUCAGCUACUCAGGAGGCUGAGGCACGAGAGUUUCUUGAACCCGGGAGGCGUAGGUUACAGUGAGCCGAGAUCUUGCCACUGUACUCUAGCCUAGGCAACAGAGUGAGACUCCAUCUCAAAAAAA
Molecule: RNA transcript, 2167 nt
Organism: Piliocolobus tephrosceles (Ugandan red Colobus)
Lineage: Eukaryota; Metazoa; Chordata; Mammalia; Primates; Cercopithecidae
Gene: RRP7A
Gene name: ribosomal RNA processing 7 homolog A
Exons: 8
Source: RefSeq, a predicted model, not a curated record